Molecule: ribosomal RNA, 440 nt
Filed under: uncultured bacterium
Lineage: Bacteria
Description: partial 16S ribosomal RNA
Rfam family: Bacterial small subunit ribosomal RNA
Source: RNAcentral
CCUACGGGUGGCUGCAGUGGGGGAUAUUGCACAAUGGGGGAAACCCUGAUGCAGCGACGCCGCGUGUGGGAAGACGGUCUUCUGGAUUGUAAACCACUGUCCCCAGGGACGAAAAUGACGGUACCUGGGGAGGAAGCUCCGGCUAACUAUGUGCCAGCAGCCGCGGUAAUACGUAGGGAGCAAGCGUUGUCCGGAAUUACUGGGUGUAAAGGGAGCGUAGGCGGGGAUGCAAGUUGGGUGUCAAAACUACCGGCUCAACCGAUAGUCGCACUCAAAACUGCAGCUCUUGAGUGAAGUAGAGGCAGGCGGAAUUCCUAGUGUAGCGGUGAAAUGCGUAGAUAUUAGGAGGAACACCAGUGGCGAAGGCGGCCUGCUGGGCUUUUACUGACGCUGAGGCUCGAAAGUGUGGGGAGCAAACAGGAUUAGAUACCCUGGUAGUC